AUCAUGAGUCUUGAAGAUUAAAGUGUCUAGAACUCAAGCGAGUGUGUGAAUGUUGUAAGGUUCAUGGUAGAUAGUAUUGGGCAUUUUCACAGCAAGCGAAGAUGAGCAUGUGGGAAAUUGUGAAGUUCAGUGUGAAAUGUGGAGGGUAUUGGGUGAAGAAUCAUAGAGGCGAUGUUGGUUAUAUUGGUGGUGAGGUGAGGACCAUCAACUGUAAACCGGAGGAGUUAUUUAACGCAUUGGCAGAAGAGUUUGGAGAAGGAUUAAAUGUACAGCGUGUGUGGUAUAAGCUCCCUAAUGAAGAGCAUAAGGAUAGGAAGAUAAUGAGCGAUGGUGAUCUGAUGUUUCUGAACAUGUGUGAAGCGGGUAAAUGGAGAGGAAUGAUUAAUAUAUUUCUUGUGAACACAACAUAGCAUUGUGAAGUUGAGGAGUAAGUGAUGCCAAGUGAAGAAGAUAUUAGAAUUGAAAAUAAUGUGGCUAGUUUUGUUGAUGAAGAUGAGGAUUUUGAUCAUCAUAAUACUCCUCCUAAUUCUGAUGAUGACGACAACGAGUCCUUUGUGAGAUUCAGACCAGGAAGCGGUGAGCUGGAGCUAAGACAAGUGUUCGACACCAUGGAAGAGUUCAAAGAGGCAGUAUUGGAGUAUGCACUAAAAGGUGGAUGGAAUAUCAAGCUAAAGAAAUGGGGGGGGGGGGAUAUAUCAAAUCAUCAGCUGUUUGUGGGACUAAAGAAGACUGCCCAACAUUGGUGUGCCGAUCAAACAUAAGUAUGGAAGGAAGAAAGCUUCGACGGGAAGAGUAGAGGAACAUGACCCUAUUAGUGAAGACUUCGGAGAGGGCCCAAGUCAACAGACCCAAGACUAAUAUCAGGUUCUAAUAGAAGCUUAGGUUGGUUUUUGGUGGAGCUUCUUUCGGUUUUUAGUUGAGCUUUGAUGGCGCUUCUCAGUCGGUUUUUGGCAGAGCUUUGUUGGUGUUUCUUUCAGCUUUUGGUGGUACUUUUCAGUCAGUUUUUUGUCUUUGUUUUUUUCUUAAUGAAUGUCGGUUUGAGUCAGUUGUGGUGUUUGUACACUAUUUUCCAAAUAUUAUUUACUUAUGUUUCCAAAAGAAUGUUGAACAAAUGCAUGUUGAAUUUCAAGUUAUGUUCUUUGUAGGAUCAUUUUUGCAGACAUGAACUUACAAGACCUCACAUUACCAUAAAAACAAGAACAUACAUCAGUCUUAACUUCAACUACAAGAACAUACAUAAGUCUACUACAACUAAUAGAACAUAGAUUAGCUACAACAACAUACAUUAGCUUAAAUUAAAUACCAUUGCGACAACAAGCAUAACUAAACUCAAAAUAUAAACUUCAAGAAGACCACAAUGAACAUACCCCUUCUCUCCCAAAAGGACAAGCAUGAAACAAUCUCCCUGGGUUUUUAAUUGUUCUGGAUGUAUUCCUUACAACAGCCUCUCCACAUCUACACCUCUUCGGGAGGCCUCUUACUCGAUCACCCAUUGAAAAGCUUAAUCAAAUUUCAAAAAAGUUCCAAGAAAUUUAAUUUCUAUUGUUUCAUAAUGUCGAAAAUAGUCUGAAAAAAUAAGAUGAGAGUGAAGACAAACCUUGAGAAACACAGAUGCUUUUAUCGUUUUAAGAUUACAAGACUUAUGAUUUGGCAAGAGAAUGGAGAAACCAGAGUAAUAACGAUGGAGAAGAAGAAGUAAAACCUAAUUUUAACCUCAAAUACAAAACUACGUCGUUUUGUGUUGAGAGACAAAACUAUGUUGUUUUGGUUAUUAUGUAAGUUAUUACGGCUCACGUCUCGGCUUGAGAUAACAGUAGAAUAACAGGAUUUUCGCCAAGGGAGGAAACAAGGUCACAUAUGAAAGUUGGGGUAGGAAAUUUAAAUAAAUAUGCAGUUGGGGUUGUAUUCCGCCCUAUUCAAUUAUUACAGUUUUAAAAGAUGAUUAUCUUAUUUUAUAAUGAUAUAUUAUUUUUUAUACGAAGUUUAUAUAUUUUUUGUUUUCUAAAUUUAAUUUUGUGAAUCGAAAUAAAUAUCCGGUUAAAAGAUAUAUUUACUGGAUAUUUCGAACAUCGAAUAUCUAGAUAGUGUCAAAGCAAAUGGAAUUAAAAAACUGUGAUUUAAAAAAACGAGAUGAAUCACAACUACCCCAUAAAGCAUAUAUCUAGUUUUUUUUGGAGCAAAUAAGCAUAUAUCUAGUUUGUACCCACCUUAGGUUUCCAAAAAAGUAUGUGUUGAGUCUAUGUAAAAUGGUCAUUAAAUAUUUGAAUUAAUGCAUCUUUUUUGUAGAUAAAAGCCUUGAAUGUGGCAAUGCACAAUGAGUGGAAUGCAUGGCCGACCAUAAUUUGUGUUAACAUUCUAUAACUUUUUGUGUUUGUAUUUUUAUUUAAAAAUAAAUAAAUUAAAAAGAAUGAUUGAAGUGCUAAACAAAUUUUCUUUGAACUCCACCUAGAGUUGAAAAUGAAAUAAUAUGAUGUGGUUAAUCACAAUAUUGUAAUUUUUAAGUAUUAAUGUUCUUAAUGUUACUGUGGUAUACGUGUGGUACACAAAAAUGUAACGAUAUGUAACUAGUCGCUUCUAAAUUAAAGUGUGGUGUGUUUUGAGUUAAAAAUAAAACUGAAUUAAAUAGUAAUAUGUGCGGUCCAAAAAAUUGAAGAAAAAUAUAGUCUACUUACACAUUUGAAUAAACUCCAAAUUUUGUGUGGUUAGUGAAUUAUUUAUACUUUUAAGAACAUCUUGUUUGAUACUCCUUCCGUAUCAGUUUAACUGGUGUUUAAGGAUUUUGAUUUUGUUUCAAAAUAAGUAAUGUUCUCACAAUUAUAGGUAAAAUUUAAUGUCAUUUAAAAUUUUUGACCAAUUAUAAAAUACUACAUCUUUUUCUUAUUGGUUGAAUUAAUUUUAUUCUCUGUUAUUUUAUGUAACCAAAGUCAAUUACAUAAAAGUUUGUAUUUUCUUAAUAUUUGUGCAAAAACCUUAAACACCUCUUAAAAUGAUACACAUGGAGUAUAAAUUAUUUUUAUUAACUAUUUAUUUAGUUUAUUUUUUUUUUAUAAUUUCUGAAAUAUUAUAAUAUAAUUAGCAUUUAAUAAUUAUUUAUUUCACUGAUUUUGUCAAUUAUGAAAUAUAAAUAUAUUAUAUGUAUUCUAUAGUUAUACUAUUCAUUAUACAUGUCACCAUUCAUUCUUUUGAACCGUUUAUUUUAGAUGAUCCGCAGUUUCUCCGCAAUUUGCCUUUCUCUUGAAUAAACUGUAUUUAAACCGUACUGUAGUAUCCAGUUCGCAUGUUCCAUACUACUAAAUCCCAUGCUAUCAUUCAAGCCUAAAAUUUUAGAAAAGAAAACUUUCAUCCAAUAUUUUUUUUAUUAUAUAAUAUAGAUAAAUUAAAAUUUAAAUCUAUGUUAUUUAGUUAAUUAAAUUAAUUAUAAUGAAGUAUAUUUGAUUUAUCAAAUAAUUUAUAAAUUUAAUUUUAAAAUAUAUUAAAUAUUAUAAAUUAUUUUCUUUUGUUUAAAUGAUAAUAGCACGACUUGGACAAUUUUUACAUCAACAAAAACAUGAGAUAUUGAUUGUAAGAACAUGUAAAUAUGAAUUGUAAGAUUUUCGAGAUAUAUAAUUUUAAUAAUAGAUAAAAUACUUGUUUAAAUUUUGUUUGAAUAAUUUAUAUUUACUUUUAAAACAUAUAUAUAUAUAGUUUAUGUAUCAUGUAAUGGUUACUAUACAUAUUACCUUUCACAUAUUAUUUUCAACCGCUUGUUUUAGAUUGUGAUGAUCCUGCAGUACACGUUUUUCUCAUACUAACUAUACUUAAACCAUAUGAGUCAUGACGUAUAAUAAUAGGAGGUCUAGGUUUUAAGGUUUAAAUACUUCUACUUCCAGGUCUGGGGUUCAAAUCUCAAACUAUGCAAUUUUUUACAGAUUGCGCAUUAUAGGAAGUUCAGGUUUCAAUUCUCGAAAAAAGCGAUUUAUUAAACAAUUAUGCAGCUAUGGAAGAAAGGCUUACAAGAGAUCUUCAACAUGGUGCAAGUAAAUUUAGUCAGACUAAGUCUUGGUAGGACGGCUCAGAUGAUGCAGUUAGACGUAGAUCCUCAUAAGGCAUGUAGUAUUGUCGGUUGUUGAAUCGUCUAUGUAAUGUUUUUCGUAAUUGUAAUAUCAUGAUAAACCAGCCUUUAAAAAAAACUUAAUCAUUCCAAGCCGGAAACUAUAAUAUAAUACUAGUUUAUCUCUAUAAAAAGAUUACUCGUAAGUUUUCUAAAAACCCCUAAUUUUUCUUUUUUGGCUCCAAAUAAUGACAAGAAUCUCUGAUCUUUCCCAAGAUUUGAUAGAGGAGAUACUCUCUAGGGUUCAGUUAGCAUCUCAGCGAGCGGCUAGAUCCACUUGCAAACAAUGGAACGGUCUGUAUAAAGAUGAAAGCUUUACAAAGAAUCAACGUGGUAAAGCUGCUUAUGAUAAUAUGGUGGUCAUGGUGUGUGAUUCUAGGGUUUGUUUAGUGAGGGUCGAUCUCGAGGGAGUCCAUAACAACAAAGAUGGCUUAGUUGAGAUAUCUACAAAGCUAAUGGGUCAACACACUACAAGAAAACAUUAAUUUAGAGACUGCAUUUGCAACUGUGCUCUGUAGUUGCAAAGAUGUGUGACUAAUUUCUAAUGAAUUUGCAACCAUUAAGUGACUACGGUUUAUGAAUAGUAAUUUAGUUGCAAUUUUGUGACCAAUACUUGUGGUGGUAAUUUCGUUGCUUAUUUAUGACCUAUUUGCAACUCAGUUGCAACUAAAUGGUGUAAUUGCAAAAUAGUGUCAAAAAAAACAACGUAUUUAGGACCAAAGUAUACAGUUACAAAUACGUAGUUACAAAUUAGUUGCUAAUAUAAAUUAAAUUGCGUAGUUGCAAAUAAGUAACUAUAUUUUGGGACACUUGUGUGACUUUAAUCAAAAGAGUAGUAUUUUAGUGGCUAAUAUGGUUUUGAAAACACAGGCCGCCACAGUUAUAUAGAGAUUAUAACUAUUUCACGACUAUGAACAGACAUUUAUAACAAAGUAAAGCAACUUUUCAGUUUUCUGCUAUAGAAACUUAUUUGCUAAAAAUAGUUUAGCUGAUAUUAAUAAUUUGUUUUUUCAAUAGAAAAGCAUCAGUUAUCAUGUCCGAGUGUAGUAGAAGAGUAGUUGUACUAUUUGCUACAUAUUUUGCAGUAUAGUUAGGUUUAGUGUUUAGGGUGUUUUCACUCAAAAUUGUAAAUUUAAUAUUUUCUUGUAGAUUUCUAUAAUUUUAAUACGAACUCAACAUCACAAACAUAUAUAUAUAUAUAUAUAUAUAUAUAUAUAGUAACAUUUAUGAUUUUGCCCUUAUUAUGUGAUUUUUAAAAAAAUUAAAAGAGUAAUCUUAUUUUGUGACUAAUUUACUACUAUAAGCAUUUGUAACUAACUUGUGACCAACAAUAUUUGUAUUCAGCCACUCAACACACUAUAAGCAUCUGUAACUAACUUGUGACUUCAAAUAUAAAAGGAGUUACAAUGAAGUAUCAAGUAUACAGUCCCAAAAAAAUUCAAGUUUAUAUAGUCAUUUAGAUUAAAAGCUCAAUUAAAUUAUUUUACAUUAAUGAUUUUCUAAGUAAUACUUAUUUAAUAUACAAUCAUAUAUUUUAACAUACAAUUCUUGAAAAUAAAAAUCAUAUUUGGAGCUUAGGGUAUCAUUAGCUACUAAUUUGGGACUGUAAAACAUAAUCAAGUUGCAAAUUAGUCACAAGUAAUAGCGAAGUUGUUACUGUUUUGCCACUGUAAUCAUAUUUAUUGGAAUAAUUAUCCAAAAUAUAUUAUUUUUCUUAAAUUAUUUUAUUAUAUUACAAGCAAAUACCAGUACACCCAAAAUUAAUCAUAUCUUGCACAAUUUGGAUAUAUGCACAUCUUCACAAAAUUUAUGUUAUCCAAUAUAAUACAUUCUUGUGUCAUGAUUUGGAUUUGAAUAGAGAUUUUUUCAAAUAGAUUGAUCUACAUUAAUGAUUUGGUAAACUAUACUUACUUAAUAUAUAAUCAUUUGUAUUUUUCAGAUAUAGUAGUUUUUAAAAGCAGGGAAUAAUAUUCAAGGUUUAGGGUAUUGUUAGUCACUAUUUUGCAACUAUAUGUCCUAAGGUAGUUGCACUUUAGUAGCAUAAUUUGACUGAUAAAAAAUUAAUAAUAAUUUAAGAGGUUGUUUCUGAUUGGUUAAUUCACAAAGGGAAGGAUUGACCUUUGUUAGUUAUCCACCGUUGAUAUCAGUAAAACUAAUGGUCACGAUUUAAUCAAGUUUUAAAAUUUUCUACUUCUUCUUUUCUUUCUCUUCUCUGCUUUGUGCUUUCUCAUCGUUAGUUUCAAAGAUUGAAUUUUCUCAGGCUUUCUCUUCGUCUUCCUUUUAUCUGCUCUCCCAUCAUCGCUACUUUUUUUCUUUUUCUUCUUUCAUUUCUCUUGGUAUUCUUUUUUUCUCUUCAUCUUAUUAUACAAUUUCUAACUGGUUUUUUUGUUUUGUUUACAGAUCUGAGAAGAAGUAGCAGUGAUGAAACGGGGAGGAGAAAUUGUGGCGUGACGCAGAAGACGUGCCGGUGGUGGUUGUGACGUAACAGAUCGGAUCGGAACGGCCGAGUCCGUGUGUACCAGACCAACACUGGUCGCUCCACAACCAGAUUCUGUCGUCGCUUCAGAUGGAAUCACUCCGAGUCUACGUGGUGCCUCGUCGUUGUGCCGAAGCCGGUGGAGAAUGCGGUGGCGGAACCCGUGCAGUGGAUGAACUCAUAGAGAUGAUGAUGGUGUAUUUUUGUAUAUAUAUAUAUAUAUAUAUGUAUUUAUCUCUGUAAUUUAACUUUUAAAUUAAUAUGAAAUUAAUAUUUAAAUUUGAA
Long non-coding RNA from Brassica rapa (field mustard), 6851 nucleotides. RefSeq lists it as uncharacterized. NCBI's taxonomy places the organism in Eukaryota, Viridiplantae, Streptophyta, Magnoliopsida, Brassicales, Brassicaceae. The record is from RefSeq and is a predicted model, not a curated record.